Molecule: unclassified non-coding RNA, 225 nt
Filed under: plant metagenome
Description: partial contains small subunit ribosomal RNA, internal transcribed spacer 1, and 5.8S ribosomal RNA
Source: RNAcentral
UCUCCGUUGGUGAACCAGCGGAGGGAUCAUUACCGAGUUAUCAACUCCCAAACCCCUGUGAACAUACCACAACGUUGCCUCGGCGGGACCGCCCCGGCGCCCCUAGCGGCCUGGAACCAGGCGCCCGCCGGAGGACCCAAACUCUUGCUUUGAACAGUGGCAUACUCUCUGAGUCUCAAAAACAAAAAUAAAUUAAAACUUUCAACAACGGAUCUCUUGGCUCUG